Molecule: ribosomal RNA, 613 nt
Filed under: uncultured bacterium
Lineage: Bacteria
Description: bacterial SSU rRNA
Rfam family: Bacterial small subunit ribosomal RNA
Source: RNAcentral
CCUACGGGAGGCAGCAGUAAGGAAUAUUGGUCAAUGGACGAAAGUCUGAACCAGCCAUGCCGCGUGAAGGAUGACGGCCCUCUGGGUUGUAAACUUCUUUUAUAGGGGACGAAAAAAGGGUAUUCUUACUCACUUGACGGUACCCUAGGAAUAAGCACCGGCUAACUCCGUGCCAGCAGCCGCGGUAAUACGGAGGGUGCAAGCGUUAUCCGGAUUCACUGGGUUUAAAGGGUGCGUAGGUGGGUCUAUAAGUCAGUGGUGAAAUCUCCGAGCUUAACUCGGAAACUGCCAUUGAUACUAUAGGCCUUGAAUUAUCUGGAGGUAAGCGGAAUAUGUCAUGUAGCGGUGAAAUGCUUAGAUAUGACAUAGAACACCAAUUGCGAAGGCAGCUUACUACGGAUAUAUUGACACUGAGGCACGAAAGCGUGGGGAUCAAACAGGAUUAGAUACCCUGGUAGUCCACGCCCUAAACCUAUGGAUACUCGACAUCAGCGAUACACUGUUGUGUCUGAGCGAAAGCAUUAAGUAUCCACCUGGGAAGUACGACCGCAAGGUUGAAACGUUAAGGAAUUAGACGGCUGAGACCGNGCGACGACGACGACGAGGGAGGAGG